This 429-nucleotide long non-coding RNA is filed under the name Medicago truncatula (barrel medic). Its description in RNAcentral is "lncRNA gene20146". Lineage: Eukaryota; Viridiplantae; Streptophyta; Magnoliopsida; Fabales; Fabaceae. The record is from RNAcentral.
CAUUUGUGCAAAUACAGUCUAUGACUCCUUUAUGAGUGUUCCUGAGAAAAUGUUAGUCAGUUUCUCUAUCAUGUUAGAUACUGUUUUCGAGUCUCAAUAGUUUCACACAAGUAUUGAUAUUAACAUGUAAAAAACUUCGCUCAUUUCAUUCAAAGAGAGACAUGAAAAAGAACUAUAUCGAUUAGAGCCAAAGUUUGAGAAGUUGGAAAGAUUUUGAUAUGUAGUUCAUUUGUAACCUCAAAUUUACUAGAAGUCGUUCUAAUAUUUAUGCUAAUAAAGCAUUAAUGCAUUAUUUGUAUAUUAAAUGAUUUGGAUCUGAUGAAAAUUUACAAACAAGAUUGUAUUUCAAAUUUUAUUUAUAAUUAUUUUGUGAGCAAUGGGAUGUUACAGUAUGGUGUGUUUGAUCACUCCACGCUCAGCAUAAGUUAA